This 203-nucleotide unclassified non-coding RNA is filed under the name Hevea brasiliensis (rubber tree). The record is from RNAcentral. Lineage: Eukaryota; Viridiplantae; Streptophyta; Magnoliopsida; Malpighiales; Euphorbiaceae.
AUGUUAAUAUUUCAAAAUUGUUCGAAAGAGGAUUAGAAUUUAGUGUCAACAAAGUAGCAUGUGCUUUUGCUUUGCAUAGCCUACUGGACAGGGCGAGUUGCUACUCUUUACCACCACAACCUCACUCAGAGUUAGGGGUGUAAAGGUAAAAGUUACAUCACAUAAAACAACUGAAGAAGAGCCACAGAUCCCAACCAGUCAAC